This 301-nucleotide ribosomal RNA is filed under the name uncultured bacterium. RNAcentral describes it as "partial 16S ribosomal RNA". It matches the Rfam family "Bacterial small subunit ribosomal RNA", at positions 509 to 809 of the family's 1533-position model. The record is from RNAcentral.
CAGCCGCCGCGGUAAUACGUAGGUGGCAAGCGUUGUCUGGAAUUAUUGGGCGUAAAGGGCUCGCAGGCGGUUUCUUAAGUCUGAUGUGAAAGCCCCCGGCUCAACCGGGGAGGGUCAUUGGAAACUGGGAAACUUGAGUGCAGAAGAGGAGAGUGGAAUUCCACGUGUAGCGGUGAAAUGCGUAGAGAUGUGGAGGAACACCAGUGGCGAAGGCGACUCUCUGGUCUGUAACUGACGCUGAGGAGCGAAAGCGUGGGGAGCGAACAGGAUUAGAUACCCCCGUAGUCCCUGUCUCUUAUAA